CCGAGUGCGGGCUGCCUCCGGGCGCCCAACCUCCCACCCGUGAAUACCAACCACUUGUUGCUUCGGCGGGGCGUUCCUCCCUGGACGGGGAGGGGCAAGCCGCCGGAGACCACCGAACUUCAUGCUUGAGAGUGAUGCAGUCUGAGCCUGAUAAGCAAAUCAGUCA
This 166-nucleotide unclassified non-coding RNA is filed under the name uncultured Ascomycota. RNAcentral describes it as "sequence contains ITS1". The record is from RNAcentral. Lineage: Eukaryota; Fungi; Ascomycota.